AUUCAUAUUUUCAUAAAUUAAAUCAGUUAUGGUUGAUUCAUUCUUAAUAAAUGAUUGUAAAUAAUAUUAAAGCAGGCAGUCAAAGUAUAUUUUUGCUAACAAUAUGUCACAGUAUAAUACGCAGAUUUGGGAUAUACUCAAUUGUAAUUACAGAGACAGAGCUUCGAAUAUAUUUGAAACCGAAAUAUAAUACAACAAAUAAAGAUGGGUAUAUGUGUUGUAAACUAAAUUACGACAAAUUCUCUUUGG
This is a non-coding RNA of Nylanderia fulva, 249 nucleotides long. The record is from RefSeq and is a predicted model, not a curated record. NCBI's taxonomy places the organism in Eukaryota, Metazoa, Arthropoda, Insecta, Hymenoptera, Formicidae.